UGGGGAAUAUUGCACAAUGGAGGGAACUCUGAUGCAGCAACGCCGCGUGCGGGAUGACGGCCUUCGGGUUGUAAACCGCUUUCAGCCAUGACGAAGCUUUUGUGACGGUAGUGGUAGAAGAAGCACUGGCUAACUACGUGCCAGCAGCCGCGGUGAUACGUAGGGUGCGAGCGUUGUCCGGAAUUAUUGGGCGUAAAGAGCUUGUAGGCGGUUUGUCGCGUCGAUAGUGUAAACACGCAGCUUAACUGUGUGCCUGCUGUCGAUACGGGCUGACUAGAGGAGGGUAGGGGAGAAUGGAAUUCCCGGUGGAGCGGUGGAAUGCGCAGAUAUCGGGAGGAACACCAGUGGCGAAGGCGGUUCUCUGGACCUUUCCUGACGCUGAGAAGCGAAAGCGUGGGUAGCAAACAGG
This 409-nucleotide ribosomal RNA is filed under the name Fusobacteriota bacterium. RNAcentral's name for it is "Fusobacteria bacterium partial 16S ribosomal RNA". It matches the Rfam family "Bacterial small subunit ribosomal RNA", at positions 355 to 776 of the family's 1533-position model. Lineage: Bacteria; Fusobacteriati; Fusobacteriota. The record is from RNAcentral.